UACGGAGGAUGCGAGCGUUGUCCGGAUUUACUGGGCGUAAAGGGAGCGUAGGCGGACUUUUAAGUGAGAUGUGAAAUACUCGGGCUCAACUUGAGUGCUGCAUUUCAAACUGGAAGUCUAGAGUGCAGGAGAGGAGAAUGGAAUUCCUAGUGUAGCGGUGAAAUGCGUAGAGAUUAGGAAGAACACCAGUGGCGAAGGCGAUUCUCUGGACUGUAACUGACGCUGAGGCUCGAAAGCGUGGGGAGCAAACAGG
RNAcentral lists this ribosomal RNA (253 nucleotides) under uncultured bacterium. RNAcentral's name for it is "partial 16S ribosomal RNA". It matches the Rfam family "Bacterial small subunit ribosomal RNA", at positions 524 to 776 of the family's 1533-position model. The record is from RNAcentral.